ACACUCCUACGGGAGGCAGCAGUGGGGAAUUUUGGACAAUGGGCGAAAGCCUGAUCCAGCAAUGCCGCGUGAGUGAAGAAGGCCUUCGGGUUGUAAAGCUCUUUUGUCAGGGAAGAAACGGUGAAAGCUAAUAUCUUUUGCUAAUGACGGUACCUGAAGAAUAAGCACCGGCUAACUACGUGCCAGCAGCCGCGGUAAUACGUAGGGUGCAAGCGUUAAUCGGAAUUACUGGGCGUAAAGCGUGCGCAGGCGGUUUUGUAAGUCUGAUGUGAAAUCCCCGGGCUCAACCUGGGAAUUGCAUUGGAGACUGCAAGGCUAGAAUCUGGCAGAGGGGGGUAGAAUUCCACGUGUAGCAGUGAAAUGCGUAGAUAUGUGGAGGAACACCGAUGGCGAAGGCAGCCCCCUGGGUCAAGAUUGACGCUCAUGCACGAAAGCGUGGGGAGCAAACAGGAUUAGAUACCCCAGUAGUCC
This 471-nucleotide ribosomal RNA is filed under the name uncultured organism. Its description in RNAcentral is "partial 16S ribosomal RNA". It matches the Rfam family "Bacterial small subunit ribosomal RNA", at positions 333 to 796 of the family's 1533-position model. The record is from RNAcentral.